CCACUCAGCAGCAAGGAAGUGUGGGUGUGGUCAGCCCAGCUCAGGACAAGUGCCCUAGGAAGAAGAGGGCAGUUCCCAUUCACACCAUAGGAGGCGGCUGAGGAGCACCUUGGGAAAACAGGGGCCCUUCCGAGCAGACAAAACAACGACUGUUCAUUCUGUUCUUCGGCACAGAGAUCUGGGGAGUCAGGCCUGCCCCUACCACCUGCUCCUCUCAGGAGAAGCAGGGAGGACUGGACUGGUUGUCCGCAACUGAUGACAGUUGUGCAGCGGGGCUGAGAACGUAUUAUAAUCCCCAUUUUGUUAUGCGGGCGUUUCCACUGUACCUGGGCUACUUCCCCCCACAAUUGCACAUCAGGCCCUGAAAGAGAUGCUGCUGGAGAAGUGGGGCCCAGUCUGCACACAAGGUGUGCGUGCGCGCUGAGAGCUACGAUUACUCCGUGGCCAUCGUCGCUAUUGUUACACAGCUCCUCCUGUCAAGAGGUGGGAACUGUCCUCCCUCCCAUCGACUCUGGGGCACCUGUGACCUGCCGUGACCAACGGAAUGCAGCCGAUGGGAGCUGUGGGACCUGGCGAGGCUUCCGUUCUGGCCAUUUUGGAGCGCAGCGCCCCUGUGGAGAAGCCCGGCCAGCCUGCAGAGACCAGGCGCAAAGAGAGAAGCCGCUGUCCUCCAGCCUUCUGGGAUCCCCGCCGAGCGACACACAGAGGCCACCUGGGAUCCUCAGCUCCAGCCAGGUCUCCCCCAUCGACACCCACACGGCAGAUGAUGUCCUCACCAAGCCCUGCCCAAGUGGCAGAACUGGGGACAAAUAAAUGGUUAUUGUUUUAAGCCACUAAAUUUUGGGGUGUCGUUAUGCAA
This is a long non-coding RNA of Microcebus murinus (gray mouse lemur), 859 nucleotides long. RefSeq lists it as uncharacterized. The record is from RefSeq and is a predicted model, not a curated record. NCBI's taxonomy places the organism in Eukaryota, Metazoa, Chordata, Mammalia, Primates, Cheirogaleidae.